GAUAAACGCUGGCGGCGUGCCUAACACAUGCAAGUCGAACGAUGAAGCUUAAAAGAUUUCUUCGGAAUGAACUUAAUUGGAUUAGUGGCGGACGGGUGAGUAACGCGUGAGUAACCUGCCUUGUACAAGGGGAUAGCCGUUGGAAACGACGAAUAAUACCCUAUGACAUCAAAUAAUCGCAUGAUAAUUUGAUCAAAGAUUUAUCGGUAUAAGAUGGACUCGCGUCUGAUUAGCUAGUUGGUAGAGUAAAAGCCUACCAAGGCAACGAUCAGUAGCCGGCUUGAGAGAGUGUACGGCCACAUUGGGACUGAGACACGGCCCAGACUCCUACGGGAGGCAGCAGUGGGGAAUUUUGCACAAUGGGGGAAACCCUGAUGCAGCGACGCCGCGUGAUUUAGAAGGCCUUCGGGUUGUAAAAAUCUUUUGUAUGGGAAGAAAAUGACAGUACCAUACGAAUAAGAACCGGCUAAUUACGUG
Molecule: ribosomal RNA, 477 nt
Filed under: uncultured bacterium
Lineage: Bacteria
Description: partial 16S ribosomal RNA
Rfam family: Bacterial small subunit ribosomal RNA
Source: RNAcentral